GUAGUAUUCCCUCCGUCAACAAAAGAUGUCUCAAGUUUGUCAAAAUUUGAAUGUAUCUAGACAUGAUAGAUACAUUCAAAUUUAGUAAAAGUUGAGACAUCCUUUGUUGGACUGAGGAAGUAGUAA
Brachypodium distachyon (stiff brome) is the source of this 126-nucleotide non-coding RNA. Lineage: Eukaryota; Viridiplantae; Streptophyta; Magnoliopsida; Poales; Poaceae. The record is from Rfam.